RNAcentral lists this non-coding RNA (24 nucleotides) under Mus musculus (house mouse). Lineage: Eukaryota; Metazoa; Chordata; Mammalia; Rodentia; Muridae. The record is from RNAcentral.
UGUGCUGUGUUGUAGUUCUAAUCU